GGACAAUUCAUCACCACCUGGCACAUACAACACAAAGAACCCAAGUGACCAUUAUGCUGUAAAAUUAUGAGACCUGAAAAUUGAAGAGAAUACACAUGGAUCUACACAAUAGGCCUCAUCUACCAGUAAAUGUGUCAUUUUAUGGUGGUACAUGUAAUGUACAUGUAUCACUGUCAAACAGUAUCCUGUAACUAAACCAUUCAGGUUUAUACUGAUCAGAAAGUGGAAUUAUCUCCAACCAACUCCAUGAGUGACCUCGCACUCAAGGAACCUGGUGAUUGCAUCAUCUUUUUCUUGGUACUAAUUAAGUGGAGAAAAGCAAAAGCAGAGAAUGCGUGUAUCAUCUAAGAACAACAAGCGGAAUCCAUCACCAAACAACUAAACUCCGAAUCAGGUAGGAUAUAAUGGAUAAUAUUCAGCUCGUUCAGUGUUUUGAGUGCAGAAUGUUUAGACAUUCUUUCUCCGUCGUUAGUGGUAAUUUUAUUUGUGAUAGGUGUGUGUUAAUAAGCACUCUGACGCAGAAGAUAUAAGCGUUAGAGAAGCGCAUCCAGACGUUCGAGAGUGUGAGAGCAGCGUUAUUCCCGUAGCGGACAGUCUGGGUGCAGCUGGCGGAGAUAACCAGCCCCCGACUCCGGCAUUAGAGCCCUUACAGCGGGGCGAGUGGGUGACGACUCGGCGGCAUAAUCGAUCAGCCAAAGCUAACGCUAAGGCUAGCCCACCGGAGCACACCUCUUCUGUGCUUCACGUGUCCAACAGGUUUGCUCUCCUUAGUGAUGCACCCACUGAUAAACCUGAAAGAGCUCUGGUUAUAGGAGACUCUAUACUGAGACAUGUAAAAUUAGCCAGGCCUUUAGGGGCGCCAGCGGCAGUGGUUGGGUGUAUCCCGGGAGCCAGAGGACCAUAGCAGGUAAUCUUAGGCCUCUAGGACAGCAUAGGUUCUCCAAGAUAGUGUUACAUGCUGGAGAUGAUGAUAUACCCAGUUUAAAAGUAGACUCAAGACGCAUCUCUUUAAUCUGGCAUACGCGUAACUCAUCCCAUAACUUCAUACUUCAGUACAUCUAUUCUGAAUGGCAACUACGCUAAUUCUCUCCAUCUGUUCUGUACUUUUCUACCCAUCCCGAGGCAUCUGGAGAUUGUACCAGCUUCAGUAGAUAAAGGCCAACCCUGUGAGGAUCCUGAGGCAUCCAGAGAAGGACCAGCUCCAGCUGAAUUCUGCCGUAUUAUGAUUGGAGCUACACAUCCUGCUCCUGUGCUCCCAGUGAUCCAGACCCCAUCUGCCCUCUGCACCUACUGACUCAUCCCUAUGCUGAACUGGACUUCAUGUUAAUUUAAAGAAUUUCUGUUAUAUUGUACUCUCAGCUGCAUAACACACAUGGUGUUAUCAUCUCUAUCUGUUAUCACCCAAAUGAGGAUGGGUUCCCUGUUGAGUCUGGUUCCUCUCAAGGUUUCUUCCUAUUGCCAUCUCAGGGAGUUUUUCCUUGCCACUGUCGCCGUCACCCUUGGCUUGCUCAUCAGAGAAAUUUCAUUCAUUCAUCUCAUUAUUAUCUAGACACAUUUUUCUCACACAUACACAAUUUAUUAUU
Molecule: long non-coding RNA, 1583 nt
Organism: Clarias gariepinus (North African catfish)
Lineage: Eukaryota; Metazoa; Chordata; Actinopteri; Siluriformes; Clariidae
Exons: 3
Source: RefSeq, a predicted model, not a curated record